UCGGGCUACAGUGGAUGCUAAAGAAUGUACCCCUAAUGAUGGGAUUCCAGUAACUGUUGUACCAGGCACUGUUGCCAACCCUCGUGGAAAAGAUCUGUUUGUGUUAGCUAUUCAGGCAUGAAUAUUGGAAUUUGAAAACAAAGAACAUGAUCUAGUAAGCUCAUGGGACUUAUCCUUCCAGAGGAAAAUGUUCCCCGUGUCUACACACUGUCCCGCAGCAGAUGCGCUCACCCUUCUACAACCAGAGGUGUGUUCACGCCAGAUGUGUUCUGUUUAGGGCUGGGGUCAGCAAGUAUAUUUGCGUCUUAGAUAAAAUAACUUAGUGCCAACGUGUGUCUGAGUCACGGAGCCAUGAAUUUGGAUUCCAUACCACCCAGGCAGGCUGAAACUCUGGGUAGAUGUGGAAAGGGUUUAAAGAUAUUUCAGAAUGUCACAAAGAACUGUGAGCUCUGAGAAAACUCUAUCAUGAGUUUAGUGCAAAGUACUUGAGCACAGGAAAUCCCAUCAGAGGAGAGCUCAGUUUGGUCCAGUGAAAUUCCAUGAACAGAAUCCUGAGACGCCUCUGGGCUUCGGUUCAGGUAACUUCAAUACAGAGAAGAGGUUGCAAAAGAAGGUUCUUCUCACCAAGUCAAUCCUAAGCCAAAAGAACAAAGCUGGAGGCAUCACGAUACCUGACUUCAAACUAUACUACAAGGCUACAGUAACCAAA
Molecule: long non-coding RNA, 709 nt
Filed under: Homo sapiens (human)
Lineage: Eukaryota; Metazoa; Chordata; Mammalia; Primates; Hominidae
Description: HSALNT0101385
Source: RNAcentral